This 286-nucleotide ribosomal RNA is filed under the name uncultured Latescibacterota bacterium. RNAcentral's name for it is "uncultured Latescibacteria bacterium partial 16S ribosomal RNA". It matches the Rfam family "Bacterial small subunit ribosomal RNA", at positions 1100 to 1382 of the family's 1533-position model. The record is from RNAcentral. Lineage: Bacteria; Pseudomonadati; Candidatus Latescibacterota.
AACCCUUAUCCCUAGUUGCCAUCAGGUAAAGGCUGGGAACGUCUGGGGAGGACUGCCGGUGAUAAACCGGAGGAAGGCGGGGAUGACGUCAAGUCCUCAUGGCCCUUACAUCCCGGGCUACACACGUGCUACAAUGGCAGGUACAGAGGGCUGCGAAGCCGCGAGGUGGAGCGAAUCCCAGAAAACCUGUCUCAGUCCGGAUUGAAGUCUGCAACUCGACUUCAUGAAGGCGGAAUCGCUAGUAAUCGCGUAUCAGCGUGACGCGGUGAAUACGUUCCCGGGCCUU